UAAAACAAUACACCACUUUCUUCCUUUCUUUCUCUGUCUGACUGUCUUCCUCCUCCUCUUCUUCUUGUUCUUCACUUACUUUAUGAAAUUUAUUAGUUUGGGCUUCCUACUCUCUCAUCACCAUUAUUAACUCUUAAUUAUUAAUCUUGAUUAAUUAAUUCAAACCUAAAGUUUUGUCCUUUUUUAUAUUCUCUAUACUUGCAAAUUGAGAUUUGCCAGGGAUAAUCUCCACUUCAUCAAAGAUCUCUUCAAAUCAUCAAACCCUAACCACCAAAUCUUCUUCACUUUUCUACAUCCAUUGAACCAAAUCUUUAAUCUUCAUCAUAGAAUAAUUAUCUAUAUUAUUAUUCUCCAUGUUUCCAUAUCAAAGUUGUGAGUUAUCUUUCCAAUCUUCCAAUAAUUUGGAAAAUAAUAAUACUAAUACAAGCAAUAAUUAUUAUUUUCAGCAUAAAGUUGACCAACAUGCUCCAACUGCUCCUCCUACUACUGCUACUACUACAACUCACCUUGUUCAUGAGCCUCACAAUGCCCUUAAUUCAAAUCUUAAAACCCCAAAACCACGAAAACCGCGGUCAAAAAAUUCUACCGUUGGUAAAGAAGGUGAGGUUAGUGGUAAUGAUAUUGCUAAGAAGAAGGAUAUUCAUCGAGAAGUUGAACGCCAAAGAAGGCAAGAAAUGUCCACUCUUCACUCUUCCCUCCGUUCUCUCCUUCCCAUGGAGUAUAUUAGGGGGAAAAGAUCGGUAUCGGAUCACGUAACAGAGGCUACAAGGUACAUUAAAGACUUGGAGAACAAUGUUAAGGAGCUAGGAGAUAAAAGAGACAAGCUCAAAGAAUCAUUAUCUUCUUUAGAAAACCAAGUAAUUACUAAAGAUAUAGGAUGCUCAUCAUCAAGUAGUAUGACUUCUACUACUUCAAGAAGUAGUAAUAGUAAAACAGGUGAUUAUAAUGUAAGCAUUCAAAAAUUUUCAAGAACACUUCAGAUUGAGAUUGCUGCUGGUGUUGAGGAAGAAGGUCCAUACCCUCUUUCAAGAGCACUCAAGGUGUUAGAUAAAGAAGGUCUUGAUGUUGUUAGUUGUGUUUCCUCUAAAGUUAAUCAGAGAUGGAUUUAUGUGAUCUAUUGUGAGGUUACUGAUGCGACGUCGGUUGACUCAAGUCACUUGCAAGACAAAUUGAUGAGUGUAAUUUCUUCAUGCAUGUGAUUAAUAAAGAUUGACUGGCCUUUCAUAUGCAGGAAAUCAAGGAUACAUCAAGGGGACCAUAGCAGCAAUUAUGUAAAGGCUAUCAAUCUGCUAAAAACAGCUAUACUCCUACCAUAAAUUGCAUGCAUGCAUGAUCAAAGUUGGUUGGUGUGAGUGGUAUGCAUGAUAUGGCUAAUCUUCCUACUAAGCCUGCCUAUAAUAAGUUCACACAUGAUCAAGAAGGAUCUUCUUUAUCAUAACGCAUCACAGCAGAUUUGAAAAUUAUUUAUAGAUCGGAUAGAAGAACAUAUCUUUCAUUUUAUGAGUUAUUUGGUAGGCGAAAUAAUUGUUUUUAGAGGCAUUUGGAUAUUGAUAAUGAUAGUAAUAGUUAUUUCAUCGUCCGAUAUCAUUUAGCAAGAUAACGUUGAAUCUUUUUUCACGUUCAAUAAAUGUAAGGUGAGAAUUACAGAUUCAUUUGUGGUGCUCAUAUAUUUGUAAUAAACGAUCAUAUCAGGUUGGAUCUUUCAGGAAUCAUCAUAUCCUUGUAAAUCAUUUCAGAGUGGUUUAAUCAUCACAUUCAAAUCAUAUAUAUAGCCAGCCAUGUUGUGGUCAUGUCUCGUUGCUUUUUCGACAAAGGGACAAAUUCUUAA
Molecule: RNA transcript, 1828 nt
Organism: Beta vulgaris subsp. vulgaris (sugar beet)
Lineage: Eukaryota; Viridiplantae; Streptophyta; Magnoliopsida; Caryophyllales; Amaranthaceae
Gene name: transcription factor bHLH120
Exons: 5
Source: RefSeq, a predicted model, not a curated record